GGCCUUGUGGUGGAAUUGGUAGACGCGCUGGACUCAAAAUCCAGUAUUCGCAAGAAUGUGGGAGUUCGAUUCUCCCCGGGGCCACCA
This 87-nucleotide transfer RNA is filed under the name Bdellovibrio sp. 28-41-41. RNAcentral describes it as "tRNA-Leu". It matches the Rfam family "tRNA". From Rfam's summary of the family: Transfer RNA (tRNA) molecules are approximately 80 nucleotides in length. Lineage: Bacteria; Pseudomonadati; Bdellovibrionota; Bdellovibrionia; Bdellovibrionales; Pseudobdellovibrionaceae. The record is from RNAcentral.